Long non-coding RNA from Lotus japonicus, 1050 nucleotides. RefSeq lists it as uncharacterized. The record is from RefSeq and is a predicted model, not a curated record. The transcript has 2 exons. NCBI's taxonomy places the organism in Eukaryota, Viridiplantae, Streptophyta, Magnoliopsida, Fabales, Fabaceae.
ACUUUGGCCCAAGUUAUUUUUUACCAAAGCAAAAUUCGAUAUCUAUUUAUAAUAUAGUAAUUGUGAAGCGCGCAAUGUAGCGUUGCCAAAUCAUCUAUCUUAUACUCACAUAAGUUUGCCACAUCAGAAUUUUUAAUUACGUGUCAUUGCAUCUCCUACAUUUUACACAACAUACUAUCAAUUUCUAUGCGCCGUUUUUUGCGUUCUUCUCUUUUCCCCUCUCCAGCAUAUCGAGCAUUGAUUCAAGACUAUUUCUUUAGGGGACGCGCCGAUCUAGAAUGCCACCUCCUCUUAGCUUGCGGCCGCCACUUCCAUUCUCUCACAAACUGAGCUACAACCACCAAAUCGCUUGCACAACCGCACUCAUCCCUCUUUCCAAAUCGCGCUCCCUACAACCUCGCGCGACCUUCACCCAGCGCUGCCUUCAUUUAUCCAGCGCCGUUGCCGCCUACUCUCGCCGGGACAAACACCACCAUCGUUCACGCAUCUGGUUUGCUUCUUUGACGUUUUAUCUCUUCCUUCUCUGUUUGAAAAUGAUUUAUCAUGCUGAUGAACAAAUUGUUAUUGUUAUUCUUUUGUUAGUAUGUUGUCUAUUACCAUUAUGUACAGUGAAGCUCUGAGAUGCUUGACAGUUUUGAUACAAUUAAUUUAAUUUGGAAUGAAAUUGAACUUGAUCCCAAUCUUUUCAAAUUCUUUUGUUAUUGUUAUUCUUUUGUUAGUAUGUUGUCUAUCUGGUGUGGCUUAUGGCAACAAGGAGGUAUCAUUCUUUCUUAUCAAAACAUAUUUUCCUUUGAAAAUUGACAGCCUCUUUUACUUGAUGCACGCUACAUGUUGCUAAUUUGCUAUGCGAUUGGCAAAUCUUAAAACCCGACCAAUCCACAUCGAGCUCAAGGUCUUAAUGAAGUUUAAGGAUCUCAGGCUAGAACCCACUCAGGCCUUCACGAAUCACGAUGAUGAUCAGACUAAGGAGCCCAAGAUGUUGUUUGCUCUGAUCCACUUCAGAAGAUGCCUACUAAGAUCCGACGCUUCUUUUGAGACUCCCUUCUAAGG